UCAAAAAGGGUGUCGGGGCUGAGCGGGAUAUGGUUGAGUGUGAGGAACUCGGGUGUCAAGUUGUCCACUUGGAAAUUACUGAUCCUAACAUAGAAGACUCUCAAAUCAAGCCAGGAUGAUGAGUACGCUUUAACACGAGGCUGGUGACGUGAGAAUCUUGCAAGUUGAAGUUCAUUAUCGAUAGAUUCGACUUUUGGUAGUGUCUCAACAGCACCCUCCAUGGUUAAAGGAGCUCAAUCCCUACCCAAACUUAUUGAAGUGGCAACAACAUGGGAGAGAUUGUCCAAAAUAGACCAAAAGGCGAAUCUAGGUUGUCUCACAAUUCAACCCUGAUUAAACGUAUUGAAUCACAAAUUCUGUACUGAUUGCCUGCAGCAAAUCGAACAAACCUACAUCACACGAAAUAGGGCCAGCCAAGAAACUCUUGGUACGUCAAAUCCAGCAUUCAAAGUCUCGAUAAAGACUAAUAUCUAUAGGUACCCCUCUGCUUGUGCUUAGAGUGUCCUCAAAUCGCUUUCAAGCUACACGAUUAAAGCUUUUGAUCCCAAUCCAAGAGCGAG
RNAcentral lists this unclassified non-coding RNA (560 nucleotides) under Hevea brasiliensis (rubber tree). The record is from RNAcentral. Lineage: Eukaryota; Viridiplantae; Streptophyta; Magnoliopsida; Malpighiales; Euphorbiaceae.